RNAcentral lists this non-coding RNA (45 nucleotides) under Schistosoma haematobium. Lineage: Eukaryota; Metazoa; Platyhelminthes; Trematoda; Strigeidida; Schistosomatidae. The record is from RNAcentral.
AUCCAGGUGACGAGUCCAAAACAGGACGAAACGCGCGUCCUGGAU